ACGGGGAGCACCACAACAGGUGGAGCCUGCGGUUUAAUCGGACUCAACGCCGGGAAACUCACCAGAUAAGACAGCUGAAUGAUAGUCGGGCUGAAGACUCUACUUGACUAGCUGAGAGGAGGUGCAUGGCCGUCGUCAGUUCGUACUGUGAAGCAUCCUGUUAAGUCAGGCAACGAGCGAGACCUACGCCAACAGUUGCCAGCUCGUCCUCCGGGAUGGUGGGGACACUGUUGGGACCGCCUCUGCUAAAGAGGAGGAAGGAAUGGGCAACGGUAGGUCAGCAUGCCCCGAAUUAUCUGGGCUACACGCGGGCUACAAUGGGUGGGACAAUGGGUAUCGACACCGAAAGGUGAAGGCAAUCUCCUAAACCCAUCCGUAGUUCGGAUUGUGGGCUGCAACUCGCCCACAUGAAGCUGGAAUCUGUAGUAAUCGUGUCUCAAAAUGGCACGGUGAAUAUGUCCCUGCUCCUU
Molecule: ribosomal RNA, 470 nt
Filed under: uncultured Methanomicrobiales archaeon
Lineage: Archaea; Methanobacteriati; Methanobacteriota; Methanomicrobia; Methanomicrobiales
Description: bacterial SSU rRNA
Rfam family: Archaeal small subunit ribosomal RNA
Source: RNAcentral